This 408-nucleotide ribosomal RNA is filed under the name uncultured bacterium. RNAcentral's name for it is "bacterial SSU rRNA". It matches the Rfam family "Bacterial small subunit ribosomal RNA", at positions 29 to 472 of the family's 1533-position model. The record is from RNAcentral.
AACGAACGCUGGCGGCAUGCCUAACACAUGCAAGUCGAACGAGACCUUCGGGUCUAGUGGCGCACGGGUGCGUAACGCGUGGGAACCUGCCUUUAGGUUCGGAAUAACUCAGAGAAAUUUGAGCUAAUACCGGAUAAUGUCUUCGGACCAAAGAUUUAUCGCCUUUAGAUGGGCCCGCGUUGGAUUAGCUAGUUGGUGGGGUAAAGGCCUACCAAGGCGACGAUCCAUAGCUGGUCUGAGAGGAUGAUCAGCCACACUGGGACUGAGACACGGCCCAGACUCCUACGGGAGGCAGCAGUGGGGGAAUAAUUGGACAAUAGGGCGAAAGCCUGAUCCAGCAAUGCCGCGUGAGUGAUGAAGGCCUCGGGUUUGGUUAAAGGAGUUACCUUUUAACUUUCCGGGUACCGG